RNAcentral lists this ribosomal RNA (506 nucleotides) under uncultured bacterium. Its description in RNAcentral is "partial 16S ribosomal RNA". It matches the Rfam family "Bacterial small subunit ribosomal RNA", at positions 29 to 523 of the family's 1533-position model. The record is from RNAcentral.
AGUGAACGCUGGCGGUAGGCCUAACACAUGCAAGUCGAACGGCAGCACAGAGGAGCUUGCUCCUUGGGUGGCGAGUGGCGGACGGGUGAGGAAUACAUCGGAAUCUACUCUGUCGUGGGGGAUAACGUAGGGAAACUUACGCUAAUACCGCAUACGACCUACGGGUGAAAGCAGGGGACCUUCGGGCCUUGCGCGAUUGAAUGGGCCGAUGUCGGAUUAGCUAGUUGGCGGGGUAAAGGCCCACCAAGGCGACGAUCCGUAGCUGGUCUGAGAGGAAGAUCAGCCACACUGGAACUGAGACACGGUCCAGACUCCUACGGGAGGCAGCAGUGGGGAAUAUUGGACAAUGGGCGCAAGCCUGAUCCGGCCAUACCGCGUGGGUGAAGAAGGCCUUCGGGUUGUAAAGCCCUUUUGUUGGGAAAGAAAUCCAGCUGGCUAAUACCCGGUUGGGAUGACGGUACCCAAAGAAUAAGCACCGGCUAACUUCGUGCCAGCCGCCGCGGUAA